UACGUAGGUGGCAAGCGUUAUCCGGAUUUAUUGGGCGUAAAGGGAGCGCAGGCGGUCUUUUAAGUCUGAUGUGAAAGCCUUCGGCUUAACCGGAGUAGUGCAUUGGAAACUGGGAGACUUGAGUGCAGAAGAGGAGAGUGGAACUCCAUGUGUAGCGGUGAAAUGCGUAGAUAUAUGGAAGAACACCAGUGGCGAAAGCGGCUCUCUGGUCUGUAACUGACGCUGUGGUUCGAAAGCGUGGGUAGCAAACAGG
Molecule: ribosomal RNA, 253 nt
Filed under: uncultured bacterium
Lineage: Bacteria
Description: partial 16S ribosomal RNA
Rfam family: Bacterial small subunit ribosomal RNA
Source: RNAcentral